This 30-nucleotide non-coding RNA is filed under the name Homo sapiens (human). The record is from RNAcentral. Lineage: Eukaryota; Metazoa; Chordata; Mammalia; Primates; Hominidae.
UUCACUGUGUCUUUCGAGUUCAUGUGUUCU